UCACAAUGGCGUUUGUCAAAAAAGUAAAUAAAAUAAAUACAGGAGGAAGAUUUAUUUGAUGUUCUCUAAAUUCUUUGUAAAACUUGGAAGAACGCAGGCAGCAAAUUGCGAUAAAAUGGAGAGAGAUAAAAUAGAGAAGUGAAAUGUAGUUGGAGGAAGACAAGAUCAUGCUCAUUGUGCCUCCUCAGAACCCACUUCCAAUAGAAAAUAUAAAGGAGAUAUGUUUGUCCCACAUCUGCAGAAUAAAUUGCAACAAUAGAAGUGCAACACAGAAAAGAGUUGCAUGCUAUUCAGAUGGACAAUGAGCUCCAGUGAAAUAAAAAA
Manduca sexta (tobacco hornworm) is the source of this 324-nucleotide long non-coding RNA. RefSeq lists it as uncharacterized. NCBI's taxonomy places the organism in Eukaryota, Metazoa, Arthropoda, Insecta, Lepidoptera, Sphingidae. The record is from RefSeq and is a predicted model, not a curated record. The transcript is spliced from 3 exons.